UACGGAGGAUGCGAGCGUUAUCCGGAUUUAUUGGGUUUAAAGGGUGCGUAGGCGGACUGUCAAGUCAGCGGUAAAAUCGAGAGGCUCAACCUCUUCCCGCCGUUGAAACUGGUGGUCUUGAGUGGAUGAGAAGUACGCGGAAUGCGUGGUGUAGCGGUGAAAUGCAUAGAUAUCACGCAGAACUCCGAUUGCGAAGGCAGCGUACCGGCAUCCAACUGACGCUGAGGCACGAAAGCGUGGGGAUCAAACAGG
Molecule: ribosomal RNA, 252 nt
Filed under: uncultured bacterium
Lineage: Bacteria
Description: partial 16S ribosomal RNA
Rfam family: Bacterial small subunit ribosomal RNA
Source: RNAcentral